Molecule: ribosomal RNA, 409 nt
Filed under: uncultured bacterium
Lineage: Bacteria
Description: bacterial SSU rRNA
Rfam family: Bacterial small subunit ribosomal RNA
Source: RNAcentral
AGCAGUAGGGAAUCUUCCGCAAUGGACGAAAGUCUGACGGAGCAACGCCGCGUGAGUGAUGAAGGUUUUCGGAUCGUAAAACUCUGUUGUUAGGGAAGAACAAGUACGAGAGUAACUGCUCGUACCUUGACGGUACCUAACCAGAAAGCCACGGCUAACUACGUGCCAGCAGCCGCGGUAAUACGUAGGUGGCAAGCGUUGUCCGGAAUUAUUGGGCGUAAAGCGCGCGCAGGCGGUCCUUUAAGUCUGAUGUGAAAGCCCACGGCUCAACCGUGGAGGGUCAUUGGAAACUGGGGGACUUGAGUGCAGGAGAGAAGAGUGGAAUUCCACGUGUAGCGGUGAAAUGCGUAGAGAUGUGGAGGAACACCAGUGGCGAAAGCGACUCUUUGGCCUGUAACUGACGCUGAGG